RNAcentral lists this ribosomal RNA (468 nucleotides) under uncultured bacterium. RNAcentral's name for it is "partial 16S ribosomal RNA". It matches the Rfam family "Bacterial small subunit ribosomal RNA", at positions 28 to 507 of the family's 1533-position model. The record is from RNAcentral.
GACGAACGCUGGCGGCGUGCUUAACACAUGCAAGUCGAACGGAAAGGCCCUGCUUUUGUGGGGUGCUCGAGUGGCGAACGGGUGAGUAACACGUGAGUAACCUGCCCUUGACUUUGGGAUAACUUCAGGAAACUGGGGCUAAUACCGGAUAGGAGCUCCUGUUGUAUGGUGGGGGUUGGAAAGUUUGGGCGGGGGGGGUUGGACUCGCGGCUUAUCAGUUUGUUGGUGGGGUAGUGGCUUACCAAGGCUUUGACGGGUAGCCGGCCUGAGAGGGUGCCCGGCCACAUUGGGACUGAGAUACGGCCCAGACUCGUACCUUAUUCACCAGUCCCAAAUAUUUCACAAUUACCGUAAGCCUGAUACACCAACACCGCGUGCGGGAUGACGGCCUUCGGGUUGUAAACCUCUUUCACCUAUUACCAAUCUUUAGUAACCUUCAUCCAUAAAUAACCACCGGCUAACUACUUG